This 786-nucleotide long non-coding RNA is filed under the name Fukomys damarensis (Damara mole-rat). RNAcentral's name for it is "lncRNA (ENSFDAG00000023515.1)". The record is from RNAcentral. Lineage: Eukaryota; Metazoa; Chordata; Mammalia; Rodentia; Bathyergidae.
UGCAGUUGACCCUUGCCUAUCUAUCCUUCCUGCAGGUUGAGGGUUCAUCUGCACCGCACCCAUACCUGUCACCAGUUCCUAGAAUCUCCAGGCUGGCACUCUUGAGACUGGGUUGGGAAUGGAGAAGUACCAGUAAUAACUCCUGAGCACAAAGUCAAGGACACAUGGGAACAAGCUUCCCACACUCCUAGACAGCAGCUCUCCAGGUAUCGAACUGAGAUCCUGGGGAAGGAUUUUAUCUGAUAUGACACCAAGGAUUCAAGAGUUCAUUCAUAGGCCAAGUGUUCAAGACUUGCUGUGGGUGAUCAGACCCCUCCUGCAGAACGGGGGUCCAGAGACCUUCACACAGCUGAUGGACAUCCUGUCUGAUCUCCUGUGUGGCUACCCAGAGGGAGGAGGCUCUCAGGUGUUCUCCUUCAACUGGUAUGAAGACAAUAACUAUAAGGCCUUCCUGGGAACAGACUCCACAAGGAAGGAUCCUAUUUAUUCGUAUGACAAAAGGACAAGUAAGUUUUCUGAGUCUGUGUGCAAAUUUGCUUGCUGUGUUGGUUAAGAUGUUGGUUAGUGCUUUCAGGUAAAAUCAGUUCAGAAGUUGACUGUCUCUUGGUCUUGUUGAAUGGCUGUGAGCAAAGACUUUUCUUCCAGAAAGUCUGCUUUUCCUUGCAGAAAGAGAGUGGUGCUAAUAAAAAAAAAUUGCUGGAUAUAAGCCAUCGAAAGCACUGAGGCCCUCUUGGAAAGGGAACACAGGGGAACAUUUCCCACUGAUGUAAUUGAACUGAGGUUAAG